UUAGAUAGAAAUAAAAUGACACGUCUCAACAUCAAAGACAAAACAGUCCUUCAAACGGGGCAGGAAUCCCUUCCAAACAGGCCUGCCGCAUUCCAUCUGCGCGGGGAAAGUUUGCUCGUUCUUCCCUUUCUCGAUCCUCGUUACUGCAGUUCAAUUCGCCCAGACGUCAAAAUGCAGGCCAGCGACAGGUUUAACAUCAAUUCCCAGCUUGAGCACCUUCAAGCUAAAUAUGUCGGUACUGGGCAUGCAGAUUUGAAUAGAUUUGAAUGGGCAGUGAACAUUCAACGAGAUAGCUAUGCAUCAUACGUUGGUCAUUACCCCAUACUAGCGUACUUCGCUAUUGCAGAAAAUGAAUCAAUUGGGAGAGAGCACUACAACUUCAUGCAGUAAUAAAAAAUUUUAUCGAAAGAAGUUGAAGGCGUAGCCAAAGCACAAAGAACGGACACAGGAAAAAUGCUUUUGCCUUGUGGUCUCCCCCCUGAAAGAGAAGACGAUUGAGAGCUGCCAUUUAAACCAAAAUCUGAAACACGUCAAACUCUGGGUCCGGCAGGCUGAAUGUCCCCAUAUGUGUAAUGCAUACUUAUUGCGUAAAGGAACUAUUAUCGUUUGUAAGACCAAUGAAUCGAGUACUCAUCUAACUUUGUGUUUGUGGGCGUGUAAAACAUCAGUCAUUAUUGUCAGGCUUGGAUUUUUAGUCUUGAUCUGGUAAUGGCUUUUAUCUGA
Carya illinoinensis is the source of this 723-nucleotide RNA transcript. RefSeq lists it as uncharacterized. NCBI's taxonomy places the organism in Eukaryota, Viridiplantae, Streptophyta, Magnoliopsida, Fagales, Juglandaceae. The transcript is spliced from 5 exons. The record is from RefSeq and is a predicted model, not a curated record.